RNAcentral lists this ribosomal RNA (459 nucleotides) under uncultured bacterium. Its description in RNAcentral is "partial 16S ribosomal RNA". It matches the Rfam family "Bacterial small subunit ribosomal RNA", at positions 338 to 795 of the family's 1533-position model. The record is from RNAcentral.
CCUACGGGAGGCAGCAGUGAGGAAUAUUGGUCAAUGGGAGAGAUCCUGAACCAGCCAAGCCGCGUGAGGGAAGACGGCCCUAUGGGUUGUAAACCUCUUUUGUCGGAGAACAAAACCCGGGACGUGUCCCGGACUGCGUGUCUCCGAAGAUAAAGCAUCGGUUACCUCCGUGCCAGCAGCCGCGGUAAUACGGAGGAUGCGAGCGUUAUCCGGAUUUAUUGGGUUUAAAGGGUGUGUAGGCGGUCCGUUAGGUCAGCGGUAAAAUUGCGGGGCUCAACCCCGUCGAGCCGUUGAAACUGGCAGACUGGAGUGGGCGAGAAGUAGGCGGAAUGCGCGGUGUAGCGGUGAAAUGCAUAGAUAUCGCGCAGAACUCCGAUUGCGAAGGCAGCGUACCGGCGCCAGACUGACGCUGAGGCACGAAAGCGUGGGGAUCGAACAGGAUUAGAUACCCCUGUAGUC